RNAcentral lists this transfer RNA (72 nucleotides) under Ictidomys tridecemlineatus (thirteen-lined ground squirrel). RNAcentral's name for it is "Spermophilus tridecemlineatus (thirteen-lined ground squirrel) tRNA". It matches the Rfam family "tRNA". Rfam says of the family: Transfer RNA (tRNA) molecules are approximately 80 nucleotides in length. Their secondary structure includes four short double-helical elements and three loops (D, anti-codon, and T loops). Lineage: Eukaryota; Metazoa; Chordata; Mammalia; Rodentia; Sciuridae. The record is from Rfam by way of RNAcentral.
UGGGGUGUGGCUUAGUGGUAGAGCACUUGCCAAGCCUGGGCAAAGCCCUGGGUUCAAUCCCCAGCACCACAA